This 1393-nucleotide ribosomal RNA is filed under the name uncultured bacterium. Its description in RNAcentral is "bacterial SSU rRNA". It matches the Rfam family "Bacterial small subunit ribosomal RNA". The record is from RNAcentral.
GAGUUUGAUCCUGGCUCAUGAUGAACGCUAGCUACAGGCUUAACACAUGCAAGUCGAGGGGCAGCAUGGUCUUAGCUUGCUAAGGCCGAUGGCGACCGGCGCACGGGUGAGUAACACGUAUCCAACCUGCCGUCUACUCUUGGACAGCCUUCUGAAAGGAAGAUUAAUACAAGAUGGCAUCAUGAGUCCGCAUGUUCACAUGAUUAAAGGUAUUCCGGUAGACGAUGGGGAUGCGUUCCAUUAGAUAGUAGGCGGGGUAACGGCCCACCUAGUCUUCGAUGGAUAGGGGUUCUGAGAGGAAGGUCCCCCACAUGGGAACUGAGACACGGUCCAAACUCCUACGGGAGGCAGCAGUGAGGAAUAUUGGUCAAUGGGCGAGAGCUUGAACCAGCCAAGUAGCGUGAAGGAUGACUGCCCUAUGGGUUGUAAACUUCUUUUAUAAAGGAAUAAAGUCGGGUAUGCAUACCCGUUUGCAUGUACUUUAUGAAUAAGGAUCGGCUAACUCCGUGCCAGCAGCCGCGGUAAUACGGAGGAUCCGAGCGUUAUCCGGAUUUAUGGGGUUUAAAGGGAGCGUACAUGGAUGUUUAAGUCAGUUGUGAAAGUUUGCGGCUCAACCGUAAAAUUGCACUUGAUACUGGAUAUCUUGAGUGCAGUUGAGGCANGCGGAAUUCGUGGUGUAGCGGUGAAAUGCUUAGAUAUCACGAAGAACUCCGAUUGCGAAGGCAGCCUGCUAAGCUGCAACUGACAUUGAGGCUCGAAAGUGUGGGUAUCAAACAGGAUUAGAUACCCUGGUAGUCCACACGGUAAACGAUGAAUACUCGCUGUUUGCGAUAUACGGCAAGCGGCCAAGCGAAAGCGUUAAGUAUUCCACCUGGGGAGUACGCCGGCAACGGUGAAACUCAAAGGAAUUGACGGGGGCCCGCACAAGCGGAGGAACAUGUGGUUUAAUUCGAUGAUACGCGAGGAACCUUACCCGGGCUUAAAUUGCAGAUGAAUUACGGUGAAAGCCGUAAGCCGCAAGGCAUCUGUGAAGGUGCUGCAUGGUUGUCGUCAGCUCGUGCCGUGAGGUGUCGGCUUAAGUGCCAUAACGAGCGCAACCCUUGUUGUCAGUUACUAACAGGUUCCGCUGAGGACUCUGACAAGACUGCCAUCGUAAGAUGUGAGGAAGGUGGGGAUGACGUCAAAUCAGCACGGCCCUUACGUCCGGGGCUACACACGUGUUACAAUGGGGGGUACAGAGGGCCGCUACCACGCGAGUGGAUGCCAAUCCCAAAAACCUCUCUCAGUUCGGACUGGAGUCUGCAACCCGACUUCACGAAGCUGGAUUCGCUAGUAAUCGCGCAUCAGCCACGGCGCGGUGAAUAAGUUCCCGGGCCUUGACACACCGCCCGUC